RNAcentral lists this ribosomal RNA (467 nucleotides) under uncultured soil bacterium. RNAcentral's name for it is "bacterial SSU rRNA". It matches the Rfam family "Bacterial small subunit ribosomal RNA", at positions 26 to 489 of the family's 1533-position model. The record is from RNAcentral.
AGAUUGAACGCUGGCGGCAUGCCUUACACAUGCAAGUCGAACGGCAGCACGGGAGCAAUCCUGGUGGCGAGUGGCGAACGGGUGAGUAAUACAUCGGAACGUGCCCAAUCGUGGGGGAUAACGCAGCGAAAGCUGUGCUAAUACCGCAUAAGAUCUACGGAUGAAAGCAGGGGAUCGCAAGACCUUGCGCGAAUGGAGCGGCCGAUGGCAGAUUAGGUAGUUGGUGAGGUAAAGGCUCACCAAGCCUUCGAUCUGUAGCUGGUCUGAGAGGACGACCAGCCACACUGGGACUGAGACACGGCCCAGACUCCUACGGGAGCAGCAGUGGGAAUUUGGACAAUGGCGAAAGCCUGAUCCAGCCAUGCCGCGUGCAGGAUGGAAGGCCUUGGGUUGUAAACUGUCUUUUUAGUAACGAACGUAAAGUCUCUUUACUAAUAAAGAGGAUCAUGACGGCAACGUAAGAAUAA